UAGCUUGCAGUCAGCUGGUUUGUUUUCAGUCUUUCUCAUUCUUUCAGCACUUGGUCUUAAUUUUUAACAUCCUGAUUUCUCAUUUUACCAAAGGAUGCCUUAACCUCUUGGCGAUAACUUCUUAUUAUGAUAUCAGUGUAAAUAUUUGUUUGCAGUUUUAUUUAUUCAUUUUAUAUUACAAGACUAUUUACCCUUGAAGGUAUAACAUGUUUUGUACAUAAUUUCAGAGAGAAUGGCAGAAAUUAUGGAAGAAGAUAAAGUUACCAUUAAAGAAGAAAUCUCUACUGUAGAGGAUACAUGUACUGUUUAUGUAGUGGGAGAAGAUGUUAAAGAGGAAAGGACAGAAAAUCAAGGUGAAGUUGUCAAGAUUGAAGAAGAUCCCCUUUUCUCUGAACAAAAGAGACUAAAAAAGAGGAAGCUGACAGAUAAAAGAGAUAAAAGUUAUCUCUGUGGAAAAUGUGAUUAUGUGGCAACUCAAUCUAGUCAUUUGAAAAAACAUAUUAAAAGUAAACAUGAAGGAGCGAGAUAUCUAUGCGAUCAAUGUGAAUACGCUGCCACUCAAGCAGGUAAUCUGAAGAAUCAUAUUAAAUCUAAACAUGAAGAAGUAAGAUAUCCUUGUUCUCAUUGUGAAUACACUGCCACUACUGCAGGUAAUCUGAAGAAACAUAUUGGAAAUAAGCAUGAAGGAGUGAGAUAUCCCUGUUCUCAUUGUGAGUUCGCUGCAACUCAAGCAGGUGAUUUGAAGAUACAUAUUGAAAAUAAACAUGAAGGAGUGAGAUAUCCAUGCGACCAAUGUGAUCACGCUGCCACUACAGCAAGAUCUCUGAAGGAACAUAUUGAAAAAAAGCAUGAAGGAGUGAGAUAUCCAUGCGACCAAUGUGAUCACUCUGCCACUACAGCAAGAUGUCUAAAGAGACAUAUUGAAUCUAAACAUGAAGGAGUGAGAUAUUCAUGCGAUCAAUGCGAGUAUGCUGCAACAACAGCAGGUAUUCUGAAGAAUCAUACUGAAAAUAAACAUGAAGGAGUGAGAUACCCGUGCGAUCAAUGCGAGUACGCUGCCACUAGGGCAGGUAGUCUGAAGAUACAUAUUAAGAAUAUUCAUGAAGGAGUGAGAUAUCCCUGUGAUCAAUGUGAAUACAUAGCCACCCAAUCCUAUCAUUUAAAAACACAUCAAAAAAAGAAACAUUAAUUAAGAAAAACUGAUUGAGAAAAAGAGAAACUGAUUGAGUUGAAGUUGCUUUCACUUGAAGAAAGACGUGAGCGGGCCGACAUGAUUCAGACAUUUAAAAUAAUUCAUGGAUUCUGUGAUGUCAACCCUAAUACAUGGUUUAGAAAGAUCAACCACAACAGAGUGAUAAGAAUGGCUAAUGACCCUUUGAACUUGGAAAUACAAAACUCUAGGACCAGUAUCAGGAACAAUUUCUUCAGCUUGAGAAUUCCAAGAAAAUGGAACUCUAUCCCACAAGAAGUUAAACAGUCGACUACAGUGAAUAUCUUCAAGAGAAGCUAUGACAAAUUCGGACAGUAUCCAUGAGAUGCUGAUGCAAGAUUACCAGUCACAAAGUCUAUCAGAACCAUCAUCAGCAACUCAAAGUCUUCAAAGACAUUCUCAUUAUAACUCUACAUGGGUUCCUGAGGAUUAUUCAACAAUAAAACAAUAAUAAGAAGAAAGGCUUUGCAAUGUAAGCUUCAAAUUAUCACUUCUCUUCUAUUAAAAAAUUCUCUUAUUGUAGAAUUUAUUAUAUAAAUCUUUGUUCUAAUUGUAUAUUUUCUAUAUCAAACUCAACUGUGUUCUCCCGCUCCCCUCAUCAUUCUUAUUUUCUUAAAUAAUAUUUUUAUCAUUUUAACAUUUUUGCAAAAACUUUUUCUCUGACAAAUUUUAUCUUUGAAAAAAUGGAAAUUAAAAACAUUUUUUCAGUUUUAUGAAAUAACAAUUAUCAUGCUAAACUUUCAUGUAGAGGAUACAUGUACUGAAGAUACAGGAGUACAAGAAAUCUGAAAUCUGAGACAGCUCUUGUGUUCAAUCAAACAGUAUACUCUGGAGAUAUCGGAGCUGUGUUCAAUCAAAGAUUAUACUCUGGAGAUAUCGGAGCUGUGUUCAAUCAAAGAGUAUACUCUGGAGAAAUCAGAGCUGGUGUUCAUUCAAUCAAUGUACUCUGGAGAAAAUGGGGGUUGUAAUCAAUCAAUAAAUCCACUGUGAAGAUAUAAGAGAUGUAUUCAACCAAUCAAUAAAUCUUCUCUGAAGAUAUCAGAACUUUGUUUGUUCAAUUAAUCUACUUUGGAGACUUGGGAGCUGUGUUCAAUCAUUUUUCUACUUUGGAGAUAUUGGAACUGCGUUUAAUCAAUUAAUUUACUCUAGAUAUAUCGGAGCUAUGUUUAAUUAAUCAAACUACUCUGGAGACACCGGAACUACGAUGUUCAAUCAAUUAAUAUACUGUAUAAUAUGAGUGCUGUGUUUACUCAAUCAAUCAAUAAUUUUACUCUGAUUAUUGGAGCUUUGUCCAAUCAACCAAUGAUAUCAGAGCUGUGUUUAAUCAAUCAAUCAAUUAUUUUACUCUGAGUAUCGGAGCUUUGUUCAAUCAACCAAUGAUAUCAGAGCUGUGUUUAAUCAAUCAAUCAAUCUAUUCUGGUGGAGAUAUUGGAGCUGUGUUAAAUCGAUUAAUCUACUCUGGAGAAAUUAGAGCUGCAUUCAAUCAAUCAGAGUUUAGAUGUCAUCUUAAUUAUGUGAAAGAUUUAUAAAAAGUAGUCUUUUUAUGAACAGAUCAGCUGUUCAUGGGAUCUUUUCUAAAUGAGCUAAUCUGAUUUAGUUUAGUAUGUGUUAAUUAGUGAGGAGAAGAUUAUAAUCUUAUUGGAUUUGUAGUGGGGUUGUAAUUUGUUUUAAUGAUUGCAAAUCUCCCCCCACCCCCUCCCCUCUCUAGCUUGAAGCCUGGGGGAUAAAGUGUGAGGGAUAUGUUGCACAGUACGUCGGGGAAUGGAGGGGGGGAGUAGGUAGGACUGAUCAAUGGUCAUCUACCUUUUUGCUUCCUUAUCUCUCGGACCAGUUCGGUUCUGCUUGGCCUAGUACUUUUAAGUUGAUGCGGCCUGAUGUAGUCAUCUUCCUUCUUUCUUCCCUUAUCUUCCAGACUGGUUUGGUUCUGCUCAGCCCGGUAUCUUUCAAUUGUCACUGCCUGACCUAGCUUGCAGUCAGCUGGUUCAUUUUCAGUCUUUCUCUUUCUUUCAGCACUUGGUCUUAAUUUUUAACAUCCUGUUUUCUCAUUUUACCAAAGUAUGUUUUAACCUCUUGGCGAUAACUUCUUAUUAUGAUAUCAGUGUAAAUAUUUGUUUGCAGUUUUAUUUAUUCAUUUUA
This is an RNA transcript of Eurytemora carolleeae, 3346 nucleotides long. It is a transcript of the gene named zinc finger protein 271, with no coding region annotated. The record is from RefSeq and is a predicted model, not a curated record. Lineage: Eukaryota; Metazoa; Arthropoda; Copepoda; Calanoida; Temoridae. The transcript is spliced from 3 exons.